UAAUUAUGGUACUGCCUCACAAGGACC
This 27-nucleotide non-coding RNA is filed under the name Homo sapiens (human). The record is from RNAcentral. Lineage: Eukaryota; Metazoa; Chordata; Mammalia; Primates; Hominidae.